GCAUUUGUGGUUCAGUGGUAGAAUUCUCAUUUUCAGUGUAGGAGACUUGGGUUCGGUUCUCAGCAAGUGCA
This 71-nucleotide transfer RNA is filed under the name Loxodonta africana (African savanna elephant). It matches the Rfam family "tRNA". Rfam says of the family: Transfer RNA (tRNA) molecules are approximately 80 nucleotides in length. Lineage: Eukaryota; Metazoa; Chordata; Mammalia; Proboscidea; Elephantidae. The record is from Rfam by way of RNAcentral.